CUCUCUGGGUCUAUCAGGGUUUGUCUUGGAACUCUGAAACCUUUUCCCGUGCAGGGCUAUGAGGCAAAGGCUGCUCUAACUCGGUUUUUUGGUGCCGACUUAAUGCUCUCUCCUCCUUCUGUGUCAGUUUCCAGCCUUCCUGGUGGUUUCCCCUGGUGCUGGCAGAGUGUGGCGAGUUGUGCUUCCUGCUGGAGAGAGAAGGACCCUGGAAAGCUGCUCUGGGACCACAGCUGUGCCGAGCCUGGGAGUUUGUAUCGGUAAGAGCAGGGUUUGCCCUGGAACUCCAAAACCUUUCCCCGUACCUGGUUAUGAGGCAAAGACUAGUCUCACUUAGUUUGUUUGUGCUGCAUUAACACUUUUUAGUCCUUUUCUAAAGAAAGAAUAAAGAGGGGAACUCGGGCAGCAGCCAAGCAACACCCAGUUACUCUGCAACCAGGUGAAGUGACUUGAAGCUGAUGAGCUGGUCAUUUAGAACUUUGGGGGCUCAAGGCACAGGUGACCACCAGAGACCCCCAAUGGAGCCCCUGAGACCUUAUGAGAGUCUGUGUGUAUGGGAACAGGUGUUGGGAAAUGUCCUGAGUGUGGAACAGGAAUGCAGGGAACAAAGUGAAGCCUCCUGUAAUGCUGAUCCCUCCCCUCAGCUGCAGUGGAGACCCCUCUGUGUGCACUGUGGGAGCUGAUGGCCAGGACAGGCGCUGGGCUGGGAUGAUUGCAGGGUGUUGUCAGCAAGGAAUGCCUGGCUUGUAAAACUGCCCAGCUGAGUGUGAGAGGCUUCUUUGCCGAGCUGCUUUCAGGCAGCCAAAUGGGCCCCAGCAGGGACUCUGUGCCUGCUGUCCCGUGGUUCCCAGGGAUCUCUGGGCCUUCACGCCGGCACCGAGGUGUUCUCGGGAAGGCCCUCAGAUCCCCGGAGCAGUGUGGGACACGGGCACGAUGCCCCUGCCUUUUGGGAGCAGAUUGGGCCCCUGGAGGGACAGUGCUGUUGGUGCCCCCCGGGCUGGGGCACCCCGAGGACUCGAGCGCGCACCCAAAGGAUUCUUCGGGGAGCUCCUCUGGGUGCCCCAAGCUGGGGAGCUCCAAGCAAGGUCCCUGCAAUGGAUUGAGGCAUUCCUGAGAGUAUCAGAGGUGUAGCUGUCUGUCCUGGCCAUGGAGCUCUGGAAUGGGCUGUAAUUGGGUUCUAAAAGUGGUGUUUGGACUGCAAAAGAAGUGUGGGAUUGGGAUUAGGGAAUGAGUGGUGAUGGUACCAUUGGGUGUUUUGUCUUGAGUGGAAUUGUGAGAGCUGCAGGAGUGCAAGGUGUGGGUUCCAGUCCCCAGCAUUUGGUUUGCACAUGUCCUGGUCAGACACAGGUACAGCUUCCUCAGUCCUUAACACAACAGAGGGAGAAUUCAGGAAUGGCACUGUGAAGGUGAUUGGUGUGACAGGGGUUAAAGUGGGAAAACCUUGGGGAAUUCCUCAGCUUUUGUGUUAGCAAGCUCCCUUAAACCCCUGCCAGGAAGACAUUGGGUGGAAAUGUUGAGGCAGAAAUUAAAUUGGAAAAUGGGGAGAUGGAAAUUGUAAUUGCUGAAACUAACUGUGUGAGAGCAGCAGCUCUUCUCGUGCAGGAAAUAACUCCUGUCAGCAGCACCGUCCCGACUGGAGUGGCAGAUGGAGUUGUUCCUGUGGUGUGGGCCAGUGGAAUUCCAGGAGAAUGGACAAGGGCAGACCCUGUAGGUAUUCCCAUGAAGCUGAGAUCUCUCUAGAAUGUGACUGCAAGAACCUGCAAAGAAAUCCAGUGGCAAAGAGGAUUGAUCAGUGCAGGACCUGAGAGAAGCACCUGAGAUGACAACCUUGAGUAGUUGGCAGUCUUAGAUUUCAAGAUGCCCUUUGCUGCAUCUCCAGGAGCAAGGCAAGCCAAGAAACCUUUGCUUUUGAAGGAGAAAAUCCAGAAAUGAGGAAGGAAGAAAAGAAGCCACCUGAGUCCUCCCUGAGCCACAGGCAGUGCAUGAAGUGCCUUCCUGGGAAUGGUGGAAUUGUGGCGACUCUGCAUUGCUCCCUCUGGAUGUGUGGAUGUGGCCUGCAGGAACUGCAGGAAUUGACGGUGACGCCUCGGCCGAUGGAUUGGACGCCCCAGCCCGUGCGUUCCUGCCCAGCCCUUGGGUCCCUGUCAAGUGGUGGGACUGCCAGCCCCUGCAGGGGGCUGUGACAUUGAAACUGCAGAGAGCUGAGCCAGGGGAUUGAAAGGGACUGAGCCAGGGAGGUGAAGAAAGAAGGAAGAAGGGAAGUGAGGCAGCAGCCAAGCAGCACCAAGUUCCUCUGUCAGCAGCAGCUCUUCUCGUGCAGGAAAUAACUCCUGUCAGCAGCACCGUCCCGACUGGAGUGGCAGAUGGAGUUGUUCCUGUGGUGUGGGCCAGUGGAAUUCCAGGAGAAUGGACAAGGGCAGACCCUGAACAAGGCAAACCAAGAAACCUUCGCUUUUGAAGGAGAAAAUCCAGAAAUGGGGAAGGAAGAAAAGAAGCCACCUGAGUCCUCCCUGAGCCACAGCCAGACCAUGAAGUGCCUUCCUGGGAAUGGGAGGAUGGUGAGGACUCUGCAUUGCUCCCUCUGGAUGUGUGGAUGUGCCCAGCAGGAACUCCAGGAAUUGACGGUGACGCCUCGGCCGAUGGAUUGGACGCCCCAGCCCGUGCGUUCCUGCCCAGCCCUUGGGUCCCUGUCAAGUGGUGGGACUGCCAGCCCCUGCAGGGGGCUGUGGCAUGGAAAGUGCAGAGAGCCGAGCCAGGGGAUUGAAAGGGACUGAUCCAGGGAGGUGAAGAAAGAAGGAAGAAGGGAAGUGAGGCAGCAGCCAAGCAGCCCCAAGUUCCUCUGUGAGCAGGUGAGUUGUCUUGAGGUUCCUAAGGCAGGCCCUUGGGACUUUGGGGACUCCAGACAGAGAAGACCGUGGAAGCCCCUUGGAGGAGCCCCUCAAAUACCUUCCAAGGUAGGUGUGGAUGGUAAUAAGUGCUGGGCAAUGUCCUGAGUGUGGAACAGGAAUGCAGGGAACAAAGUGAAACCUCCUGUAAUGCUGAUCCCUCCCCUCAUCUGCAGUGGAGACCCCUCUGUGUGCACUGUGGGAGCUGAUGGCCAGGACAGGCAGUGGGCUGGGAUGAUUGCAGGGUGCUGUCAGCAAGGAAUGCCUGGCUUGUAAAACUGCCCAGCUGAGUGUGAGAGGCUUCUUUGCCGAGCUGCUUUCAGGCAGCCAAAUGGGCCCCAGCAGGGACUCUGUGCCUGCUGUCCCGUGGUUCCCAGGGAUCUCUGGGCCUUCACGCCGGCACCGAGGUGUUCUCGGGAAGGCCCUCAGAUCCCCGGAGCAGUGUGGGACACGGGCACGAUGCCCCUGCCUUUUGGGAGCAGAUUGGGCCCCUGGAGGGACAGUGCUGUUGGUGCCCCCCGGGCUGGGGCACCCCGAGGACUCGAGCGCGCACCCAAAGGAUUCUUCGGGGAGCUCCUCUGGGUGCCCCGAGCUGGGGAGCUCCAAGCAAGGUCCCUGCAAUGGAUUGAGGCAUUCCUGAGAGUAUCAGAGGUGUAGCUGUCCGUCCUGGCCAUGGAGCUCUGGGAUGGGCUGUAAUUGGGUUCUAAAAGUGGUGCUCUGACUGCAAAAGAAGUGUGGGAUUGGGAUUAAGGAAUGAGUGGUGAUGGUACCAUUGGGUGUUCUGUCUGGAGUGGAAUUGUGAGAGUUGCAGGAGUGCAAGGUGUGGGUUCCAGUCCCAGCAUUUGGUUUGCACAAGUCCUGUUCAGACAAAGGUACAGCUUCCUCUAUCUCUAACACAACAGAGGGAGAAUUCAGGAAUGGCACUGUGAAGGUGUUUGGUGUGACAGGGGUUAAAGUGGGAAACCCUUGGGGAAUUCCUCAGAAUGUCUAUUUGCCAGAGUUACCCAAACCACUGCCAGGAAGAGAUUGGUUGGAGAAGUUGAGGCAGGUAUUAAAUUCAAAACUGGUGAGUUGAUUGAAUUGUAGUUGCUGAAACUAACUGUGUGAGAGCAGCUGCUCUUCUCGUGCAGGAAAUAACUCCUGUCAGCAGCACCGUCCCGACUGGAGUGGCAGAUGGAGUUGUUCCUGUGGUGUGGGCCAGUGGAAUUCCAGGAGAAUGGACAAGGGCAGACCCUGAGGAAGGCAAGCCAAGAAACCUUUGCUUUUGAAGGAGAAAAUCCAGAAAUGAGGAAGGAAGAAAAGAAGCCACCUGAGUCCUCCCUGAGCCACAGCCAGUGCAUGAAGUGCCUUCCUGGGAAUGGGAGGAUGGUGAGGACUCUGCAUUGCUCCCUCUGGAUGUGUGGUAAGACUGAUGCAAACUUUGGAAACCACCUGUAAGAGUUUGCUGCCUUGGAUAGAUGGUGCAAGGGCAGCCUUUAGGCAGCUCAGGCAUUCCCUGAGGAGAGCUCUGGCUCUGCCACUUCUCGUGGGUGGUUGGCCCCUUGCCCUGCAGUGGGGCACGCACAGACUGUUGCCAUGAGGUGAGGAACGGGCGCUGUUUGGCUGCCACUCCAGCAUCACCUUAUACUACGUCCUGGCCCUACGUAGUGUAAUGUGGAGCUGAUCCAUGGGGUGUCAGGACUGCUGGCUGGAGCGAUGCUCAUCCUUCCAUCGACACUGUGUUGCUGGCGGGGACGCCCGCUAAGCAUGAGUGCCGCCCAGCCCUGCAGAGCCUGGGAGCCCUGGCCUGUCUGUGCAGGGGAGCACAGUUUAGUGAGAGGAAGAACCCAGAAAGCAAACACUUCACAUCCUUUUCCUUGGAUCCCUUUAAUUCCCUUUAUACUAGCUAAUAUUGGAUCCCUUUAAUUCCCUUUGUACUAGCUAAUAUUGGAUCCCUUUAAUUCCCUUUGUACUAGCUAAUAUUGGAUCCCUUUAAUUCCCUUUGUACUAGCUAAUAUUGGAUCCCUUUAAUUCCCUUUGUACUAGCUAAUAUUGGAUCCCUUUAAUUCCCUUUGUACUAGCUAAUAUUGGAUCCCUUUAAUUCCCCUUGCACUAACUAAUACUUUAAUAGAGGCUGUUCGUAGCAUUGUAUGAACACCAAGAGAUAAAGUAGUUUUUUUGUAUUCUUUUUAACUUUUGAUUCUCUUUGCUAAUAGUUUUGUUUUUAACUCUCACUGCAAUAAAGGAUAUUUUGUAGUGUU
Myiozetetes cayanensis is the source of this 5122-nucleotide RNA transcript. RefSeq lists it as uncharacterized. The transcript is spliced from 9 exons. Lineage: Eukaryota; Metazoa; Chordata; Aves; Passeriformes; Tyrannidae. The record is from RefSeq and is a predicted model, not a curated record.